Molecule: ribosomal RNA, 513 nt
Filed under: Triticum aestivum (bread wheat)
Lineage: Eukaryota; Viridiplantae; Streptophyta; Magnoliopsida; Poales; Poaceae
Description: partial small subunit ribosomal RNA
Source: RNAcentral
AUGAAUAAAGUUGAGUUGAACUAUGUGUCAAAUAAUUUUAUUGAUGUUCUUUUUGUGAAUGGGAAUACUGUACAGUGGCACUUAACAGGCUUUUAUGGGCACCCUAACUGGAGUGACCGUGCUUUAUCAUGGGAUGAUAUUCCAAAUUUGUAUAAGAAGGGCAAUCACCCAUGGGUAGUUUUAGGAGAUUUUAAUGAAAUUUUGUUAUCGUCAGAGAAAGAGGGAGGGAAUGGGAGACCAAAUGUGAUGAUGAAAGAUUUUCGAAAUUGUUUGGGAGAUUGUGGACUGGCAGAUAUGGGAUGUAUGGGUGACUUAUUUACAUGGAGGAGGGGCGAAAUCAGGGGAAGACUAGAUCGAGCGGUCUGUAAUGUGGAUUGGGCGAAUAAAUUCCCUCGAGCAGAGGUUAUAAACAAAGAACAUGUACACUCAGACCAUCGCCCUAUUAUUUUAGACACGGAAUAUUUUGAUGAUAAUAUUUUUGACCGCUCAAAAAGUCGAAGGAAACAUUUUUAA